ACCCGGAAGUUGCUUGAAGAAAGCGGGGCAAAGUGAGUUGCCCCCUGGAAGGUGCCUUAGAGAUCUGCUUUUGCAGGGAAGAGGGAGGGCUGGUUGCUAUGGAAGGCUCCUCACAGCUUCAAUAUCCUCAAGGCUCCAGGUGUGAUGGACUGAAAGGCGAUACUGGUUGGGGAUGAUGGUGAUGACGGUCGCCCCCGCUUUCAAAUUGAUUAAAAAAAACGCAGCAGAGAGUUCCAUAGAUUACUCUCCAAAAGAACGGAGUGGGACCGCAACAGACUAUUAUUAAAAGACCUUUUUUCCUUCAUUUUCCUCUUCCCUGAACUAUGUAACAAAUCCCCCCAAUAAAAGUAGCAUUUAUUUUAACAAUAACACUCUCUAUCUGGUUAUUUUGUAUCUUUCCCUGACUCCUUCCUUCGCAUGCAAUCACUCUCUCUCCCUCCCGUCCUUUUAACUCCGGCUGAGAUUCCCUGCCAUAGAUUAACAUGGCGGUCGAUAUAAAUUGGCUCAUAUCUCUAUCAAAAUUACCCCUAGAACGCUCCUCUUUUAGUCCUAACCCUUUCUAAGGCUCCUGACUCGAAGACAACCAGCAGAACCGGAAUCGGUCCAGUUUUCGGCACCUCAUCAGCUGACUGUCAAAACGGGAUCGACAGCUCCCUUCAAGCCAAGCUGCUGCCUUAUCCCGGGUUUUCCUCUCCCCGCGACUCGCGGAAUGGCUUUCCCUAGCCCCUUUCUGUGAAUUGGGGAUGGGGGGGAUCGCUCUCUCGCGGGGGAGACAUAGUUCUCCAAGGACCCUCACCCUCUACAGCUGCCAGGGGGUGACGGACGGGUGCACUCCACGUUCCAUGCAUACUUUUGUGAUUUUAUGAAGAAGAAGAACACUCUUCCCCAGACCUACCCUUGGACUUAUGAAAUCCUAUACCUCCAAAGACUUACUAACCCAUAUGUGCCCCUUCCCCAUGCCAUCUCUAUGAAUUCCCUAUGAACUCUUUCUCCUCAUGCAUUUGUGAAUAUUCAUAUUCUAUGUACUUGGACACACUCAUGACUCGCUGUGUAUGAAUUUCAAAUCGUUGGGCUAACUUCAUGAAUUGUGAAAUCAUGCUGCUUGAACCCCACUUCUAUAUUGGAUUCCCCAGAUGUUGUGAACUUCGUCCUUAUCAAAUGUUUUCUAUUGCUUAUUUCUAUUGUUUAUAUCAUUCAUGAUUCCCCUUUAUGCAAUGUCACCCAUCUUUAUGGAUUCUCCUUUAUCUCCUUUAUCUACCUAUCUGCCUAUAUGUAUUUAUACUCUUUGGGAUCCCCGGAAAAUAUGUGUUUUUCCCAGCUGGGUUUAUAUUCCAACUUUAUUUUUAAUUUUCAUUUUAUCCCAUAUAAUUGGCAGAUCAUGAAAUCAAAUGGGAAAUAUUAUGACCCCAACCUGAACUCUAGCCC
Anolis carolinensis (green anole) is the source of this 1425-nucleotide long non-coding RNA. RefSeq lists it as uncharacterized. The record is from RefSeq and is a predicted model, not a curated record. The transcript has 2 exons. Lineage: Eukaryota; Metazoa; Chordata; Lepidosauria; Squamata; Anolidae.